Long non-coding RNA from Trifolium pratense (red clover), 399 nucleotides. RefSeq lists it as uncharacterized. The record is from RefSeq and is a predicted model, not a curated record. The transcript has 3 exons. Lineage: Eukaryota; Viridiplantae; Streptophyta; Magnoliopsida; Fabales; Fabaceae.
AAAAUAACAUGGGUUGAUUGGAACCAACAACAAAUUCCUGUAAGAUUUUAUGUACUUGAUUCAACUGAUCGAGUUAGAAGAAAUGGUUCCCAAUUUAUUCAUGAUUGUCAGGUAGAGUUUACGGUUCCUCCAAAUAAUGGAAGAAAGAACUACCCUCCUCAUAUUGAGAAAGCAAACAUCCCAAUGGAAAAAGGUGGUUAUCUCAUAUACGGCACAGCUCAUAUGCAUGUUGGUGCAAUUAACGCAACUUUAUAUGGACAAGAUGGAAGGACUUUGUAUACCUCAAAACCAACAUAUGGAAAAGGAAAGGAACCGGGAAAUGAGAAAGGCUAUGUUGUCGAGAUGUCGGGAAGUUAUCCAGAGUUAGGUUCAAUCAAGAUUAAAGAUGGUGAAAUUGUG